This 1420-nucleotide ribosomal RNA is filed under the name Staphylococcus aureus. RNAcentral describes it as "partial 23S ribosomal RNA". It matches the Rfam family "Bacterial large subunit ribosomal RNA", at positions 12 to 1434 of the family's 2925-position model. Lineage: Bacteria; Bacillati; Bacillota; Bacilli; Caryophanales; Staphylococcaceae. The record is from RNAcentral.
UAAGGGCGCACGGUGGAUGCCUUGGCACUAGAAGCCGAUGAAGGACGUUACUAACGACGAUAUGCUUUGGGGAGCUGUAAGUAAGCUUUGAUCCAGAGAUUUCCGAAUGGGGAAACCCAGCAUGAGUUAUGUCAUGUUAUCGAUAUGUGAAUACAUAGCAUAUCAGAAGGCACACCCGGAGAACUGAAACAUCUUAGUACCCGGAGGAAGAGAAAGAAAAUUCGAUUCCCUUAGUAGCGGCGAGCGAAACGGGAAGAGCCCAAACCAACAAGCUUGCUUGUUGGGGUUGUAGGACACUCUAUACGGAGUUACAAAGGACGACAUUAGACGAAUCAUCUGGAAAGAUGAAUCAAAGAAGGUAAUAAUCCUGUAGUCGAAAAUGUUGUCUCUCUUGAGUGGAUCCUGAGUACGACGGAGCACGUGAAAUUCCGUCGGAAUCUGGGAGGACCAUCUCCUAAGGCUAAAUACUCUCUAGUGACCGAUAGUGAACCAGUACCGUGAGGGAAAGGUGAAAAGCACCCCGGAAGGGGAGUGAAAUAGAACCUGAAACCGUGUGCUUACAAGUAGUCAGAGCCCGUUAAUGGGUGAUGGCGUGCCUUUUGUAGAAUGAACCGGCGAGUUACGAUUUGAUGCAAGGUUAAGCAGUAAAUGUGGAGCCGUAGCGAAAGCGAGUCUGAAUAGGGCGUUUAGUAUUUGGUCGUAGACCCGAAACCAGGUGAUCUACCCUUGGUCAGGUUGAAGUUCAGGUAACACUGAAUGGAGGACCGAACCGACUUACGUUGAAAAGUGAGCGGAUGAACUGAGGGUAGCGGAGAAAUUCCAAUCGAACCUGGAGAUAGCUGGUUCUCUCCGAAAUAGCUUUAGGGCUAGCCUCAAGUGAUGAUUAUUGGAGGUAGAGCACUGUUUGGACGAGGGGCCCCUCUCGGGUUACCGAAUUCAGACAAACUCCGAAUGCCAAUUAAUUUAACUUGGGAGUCAGAACAUGGGUGAUAAGGUCCGUGUUCGAAAGGGAAACAGCCCAGACCACCAGCUAAGGUCCCAAAAUAUAUGUUAAGUGGAAAAGGAUGUGGCGUUGCCCAGACAACUAGGAUGUUGGCUUAGAAGCAGCCAUCAUUUAAAGAGUGCGUAAUAGCUCACUAGUCGAGUGACACUGCGCCGAAAAUGUACCGGGGCUAAACAUAUUACCGAAGCUGUGGAUUGUCCUUUGGACAAUGGUAGGAGAGCGUUCUAAGGGCGUUGAAGCAUGAUCGUAAGGACAUGUGGAGCGCUUAGAAGUGAGAAUGCCGGUGUGAGUAGCGAAAGACGGGUGAGAAUCCCGUCCACCGAUUGACUAAGGUUUCCAGAGGAAGGCUCGUCCGCUCUGGGUUAGUCGGGUCCUAAGCUGAGGCCGACAGGCGUAGGCGAUGGAUAACAGGUUGAU